GGACAGAGAUGUUGGGAGACCCUUUUGCACCUAGUGCUCAGUGGACAGUUGUUUCCUAGGAUAUGGGAUGGCCACUGCCAUUUUUGUAGCCAGUGAUGCUGAUUUAUCCAGGGUGAUGAGGAAUCACAUAGGCUAUUGAUUUAUCGGGUCGAGGGAGCGGACAGGAACCGACCCUAUGGCAAGAUUAGAAACGACAGCCAGAUGCAGACCCAGCCUCGGAAGCGGCCUGACCCUCUGCCCACUGGCACCCAGGCAUCUGUCCUUGUCCUCAUGGCUAAAUAAACCCGUUCAGACCCCGGAGGAUGAACAACAGGACAAGUUAACGGCAACUGACGGGUCCGUUGUCUCUCAGGCAUGUUCGACUCUUUGCGACCCCAUGGACUGCAGCGUGCCAGGCUUCUCUGUUCUUCAUCUCCGGGAGCUUGCUCAAGCUCAUGGAAGGAAUCUACUGUCAGCCAAACCACAUAUUGAUGUCACUCAAGUUGGGCAUGGUUUAAACGUUGAUAAAACCCGGUUUUCUAGUUUUCCCAGGUGA
Molecule: long non-coding RNA, 535 nt
Filed under: Capra hircus (goat)
Lineage: Eukaryota; Metazoa; Chordata; Mammalia; Artiodactyla; Bovidae
Description: lncRNA (ENSCHIG00010030821.1)
Source: RNAcentral